AACUUGAUAUACUUUUCAUUCAGGUUGUGCCGGAUGUCGUAACCUCUGAACCUCCAGCUCAGACACAGACACCAACACCAGGAGACGGGGCGUCGUCUAGUGCCAGUUGUGUGGGUAAGGCACCAGGAGGUCAUGCAAUCCCAGGAGACUGCAAAAACUAUAUGGUAUGCUCCAAUGGAAGUAAACAAAUACUUCCCUGUCCUCCUGGAACGUCUUUCAGCACAGCCAUUAAAGACUGUGACUUCUCUACAGAAGUGCCCGGAUGUUGAAGUUUGUUUUCUAUUAAGAUACUAAGUGAAAAGAAAAAAAUUACCGAAGCCGAAUUUAAUUGAAAAAUAAAGAAAAUUGUUAAGAAAUAAAA
Long non-coding RNA from Octopus sinensis (East Asian common octopus), 361 nucleotides. RefSeq lists it as uncharacterized. The transcript is spliced from 2 exons. The record is from RefSeq and is a predicted model, not a curated record. Lineage: Eukaryota; Metazoa; Mollusca; Cephalopoda; Octopoda; Octopodidae.